AGCUCUGCAGUGGCAGUAUCAUAGCCAAUGAGGUCUAUCCAAGGCACAGUCAUUGCUGAGAACUAUUCCCAAUACCUCGCCAUGAUGACUUGAAAUAUGGUCUUCAAUGGCAAUUUCUUUCUUUCUUUCUUUUUUUUUUUUCUUUUGAGA
This is a small nuclear RNA of Macaca fascicularis (crab-eating macaque), 150 nucleotides long. Its record names the gene U4. It matches the Rfam family "U4 spliceosomal RNA". Rfam says of the family: U4 small nuclear RNA (U4 snRNA) is a component of the major U2-dependent spliceosome. Lineage: Eukaryota; Metazoa; Chordata; Mammalia; Primates; Cercopithecidae. The record is from Ensembl.